Molecule: ribosomal RNA, 330 nt
Filed under: uncultured bacterium
Lineage: Bacteria
Description: bacterial SSU rRNA
Rfam family: Bacterial small subunit ribosomal RNA
Source: RNAcentral
CGCGUAGGUGGUAGUGUAAGUCUGGGGUGGAAUCCCAGGGCUUGACCCUGGAACUGCCUUGGAAACUGCAUUACUUGAGUCAGUGAGGGGAGGGUAGAAUUCCUGGUGUAGCGGUGAAAUGCGUAGAUAUCAGGAGGAAGGCCUGUGGCGAAGGCGGCCCUCUGGCGCUGGACUGACACUGAGGCGCGAAAGCGUGGGGAGCAAACAGGAUUAGAUACCCUGGUAGUCCACGCCCUAAACGGUGGGCACUAGGUGUAGGGCUCGUAAGGGUUCUGUGCCGAAGGGAAACCAUUAAGUGCCCCGCCUGGGGAGUACGGCCGCAAGGUUGAA